UCAUGGCUCAGAUUGAACGCUGGCGGCAUGCCUUACACAUGCAAGUCGAACGGUAACGGGCCUUCGGGUGCCGACGAGUGGCGAACGGGUGAGUAAUGCAUCGGAACGUACCUUUCAGUGGGGGAUAACGUAGCGAAAGUUACGCUAAUACCGCAUAUUCUGUGAGCAGGAAAGCAGGGGAUCGCAAGACCUUGCGCUGAUUGAGCGGCCGAUGUCAGAUUAGCUAGUUGGUGAGGUAAAGGCUCACCAAGGCGACGAUCUGUAGCGGGUCUGAGAGGAUGAUCCGCCACACUGGAACUGAGACACGGUCCAGACUCCUACGGGAGGCAGCAGUGGGGAAUUUUGGACAAUGGGGGCAACCCUGAUCCAGCCAUGCCGCGUGAGUGAAGAAGGCCUUCGGGUUGUAAAGCUCUUUCGGCCGGGAAGAAAUCGCAUGGGUUAAUACCCUGUGCGGAUGACGGUACCGGCAUAAGAAGCACCGGCUAACUACGUG
Molecule: ribosomal RNA, 493 nt
Filed under: uncultured bacterium
Lineage: Bacteria
Description: bacterial SSU rRNA
Rfam family: Bacterial small subunit ribosomal RNA
Source: RNAcentral